Molecule: ribosomal RNA, 429 nt
Filed under: Chloroflexota bacterium
Lineage: Bacteria; Bacillati; Chloroflexota
Description: Chloroflexi bacterium partial 16S ribosomal RNA
Rfam family: Bacterial small subunit ribosomal RNA
Source: RNAcentral
UGGGGAAUAUUGCACAAUGGGCGCAAGCCUGAUGCAGCCAUGCCGCGUGUGUGAAGAAGGCCUUCGGGUUGUAAAGCACUUUCAGCGGGGAGGAAGGUGUCAAGGUUAAUAACCUUGGCAAUUGACGUUACCGACAGAAGAAGCACCGGCUAACUCCGUGCCAGCAGCCGCGGUAAUACGGAGGGUGCAAGCGUUAAUCGGAAUUACUGGGCGUAAAGCGCACGCAGGCGGUUGAUUGAGUCAGAUGUGAAAUCCCCGGGCUUAACCCGGGAAUUGCAUCUGAUACUGGUCAGCUAGAGUCUUGUAGAGGGGGGUAGAAUUCCAUGUGUAGCGGUGAAAUGCGUAGAGAUGUGGAGGAAUACAGGUGGCGAAGGCGGCCCCCUGGACAAAGACUGACGCUCAGGUGCGAAAGCGUGGGGAGCAAACAGG